AUUGAACGCUGGCGGCAGGCCUAACACAUGCAAGUCGAACGGUAGCACAGAGAGCUCGCUCUCGGGUGACGAGUGGCGGACGGGUGAGUAACGUCUGGGAAACUGCCCGAUGGAGGGGGAUAACUACUGGAAACGGUAGCUAAUACCGCAUAACGUCGCAAGACCAAAGUGGGGGACCUUCGGGCCUCACACCAUCGGAUGUGCCCAGAUGGGAUUAGCUAGUAGGUGGGGUAAUGGCUCACCUAGGCGACGAUCCCUAGCUGGUCUGAGAGGAUGACCAGCCACACUGGAACUGAGACACGGUCCAGACUCCUACGGGAGGCAGCAGUGGGGAAUAUUGCACGAUGGGCGCAAGCCUGAUGCAGCCAUGCCGCGUGUAUGAAGAAGGCCUUCGGGUUGUAAAGUACUUUCAGCGGGGAGGAAGGCGGUGAAGUUAAUAGCUUCACCGAUUGACGUUACCCGCAGAAGAAGCACCGGCUAACUCCGUGCCAGCCGCCGCAGUAA
Molecule: ribosomal RNA, 504 nt
Filed under: uncultured bacterium
Lineage: Bacteria
Description: partial 16S ribosomal RNA
Rfam family: Bacterial small subunit ribosomal RNA
Source: RNAcentral